Molecule: long non-coding RNA, 579 nt
Filed under: Homo sapiens (human)
Lineage: Eukaryota; Metazoa; Chordata; Mammalia; Primates; Hominidae
Description: non-protein coding lnc-GDA-4:1
Source: RNAcentral
UAAGUUGGUCAGUAGUUAAACUAACUAAAUUUGGCUGAAGAUUGCUAUGUUCACUAUGCAAAGAUUAGACCGUUAGUUCCCUGAGUGAAGAGAUGCUAUCUUGGUAUCUCCAGCUUCCAACCGGGGGCUUGGCACAGAAUAGGGGCUUGGUAAAUGUUUUCCAAAUGAAUGGGAUGUCUGAUGGAAAGAAGACAAGGUGAAGGAAUUCCUGGGUAAUAUGGAGAUGAGAAUCUGUGAGAAGGAUACAUGUACUGAUGCCUGUCGCGGUGGACACACAGACGCACACAUUGCGGAACACCACCAUAAGAAUAUUGAGAAUAUCGAGAACACUUCAAUAUUCCAAACUUCAAUGGAAAUAUACGAACUGGAGUACACUCUUCUUCUGCCCUUGGACAUCAGGCUCUCUGGCCUUUGGACUCCAGGACUUAUACCAGCGCCCCUCUGGGUUCUCAGGCCUCUGUACUUGAACUGAGCCACACUGCCAGCAUGCCAGCUUCUCCAGCUUGCCAGGCCUGCUGUGGGACUUCUCAGCCUCCAUAAUCAUGUGUGCCAAUUCCCCUAAUAAAUCUCCUCUCAUCU